AGCGAACGCUGGCGGCAGGCUUAACACAUGCAAGUCGAGCGGGCCCUUCGGGGUCAGCGGCAGACGGGUGAGUAACACGUGGGAACGUACCCUUUGGUUCGGAAUAACGCUGGGAAACUAGCGCUAAUACCGGAUACGCCCUUUUGGGGAAAGGCUUGCUGCCGAAGGAUCGGCCCGCGUCUGAUUAGCUAGUUGGUGGGGUAAUGGCCUACCAAGGCGACGAUCAGUAGCUGGUCUGAGAGGAUGAUCAGCCACACUGGGACUGAGACACGGCCCAGACUCCUUCGGGAGGCAGCAGUGGGGAAUAUUGGACAAUGGGCGCAAGCCUGAUCCAGCCAUGCCGCGUGAGUGAUGAAGGCCUUAGGGUUGUAAAGCUCUUUUGUCCGGGACGAUAAUGACGGUACCGGAAGAAUAAGCCCCGGCUAACUUCGUG
RNAcentral lists this ribosomal RNA (433 nucleotides) under uncultured bacterium. RNAcentral's name for it is "partial 16S ribosomal RNA". It matches the Rfam family "Bacterial small subunit ribosomal RNA", at positions 29 to 507 of the family's 1533-position model. The record is from RNAcentral.